This 254-nucleotide ribosomal RNA is filed under the name uncultured bacterium. RNAcentral's name for it is "partial 16S ribosomal RNA". It matches the Rfam family "Bacterial small subunit ribosomal RNA", at positions 524 to 776 of the family's 1533-position model. The record is from RNAcentral.
UACGUAGGUGGCGAGCGUUGUCCGGAUUUACUGGGCGUAAAGAGCGCGCAGGCGGUCGUUCAAGUCGCGUGUGAAAGCCCCCGGCUCAACUGGGGAGGGUCACGCGAUACUGAUCGACUCGAAGGCAGGAGAGGGAAGUGGAAUUCCCGGUGUAGUGGUGAAAUGCGUAGAUAUCAGGAGGAACACCUGUGGUGUAGACAGCUUGCUGGACCACUUCUGACGCUGGAGACACGAAAGCGUGGGUAGCAAACAGG